RNAcentral lists this non-coding RNA (138 nucleotides) under unclassified sequences. RNAcentral's name for it is "poplar-1 RNA". It matches the Rfam family "poplar-1 RNA". Rfam says of the family: metagenome only. Environment (Groundwater, Oak Ridge) The record is from Rfam by way of RNAcentral.
UUUGAGCCGAGGGGCCAUGCGGAAACGCCAGGUUGGCGCUAACCAGAAACGGUAGCAAGGAGCCCGCAUCACAUGAAGGACUGACUGAAGUGUGGUGAAAUACUGAGCCCUCGCAAAGGGCAGUCAGGUAGUAGCAUG